UACGGAGGAUGCAAGCGUUAUCCGGAAUUAUUGGGCGUAAAGGGUCCGCAGGUGGUCAUUCAAGUCUGCUGUUAAAGCGUGGAGCUUAACUCCAUAUCGGCGGUGGAAACUGAGUGACUGGAGUUCAGUAGGGGUUGCGGGAAUUCCCAGUGUAGCGGUGAAAUGCGUAGAUAUUGGGAAGAACACCGGCGGCGAAAGCGCGCAACUGGGCUGAGACUGACACUGAGGGACGAAAGCUAGGGGAGUGAAAGGG
This 253-nucleotide ribosomal RNA is filed under the name uncultured bacterium. RNAcentral describes it as "partial 16S ribosomal RNA". It matches the Rfam family "Bacterial small subunit ribosomal RNA", at positions 524 to 776 of the family's 1533-position model. The record is from RNAcentral.